This 1235-nucleotide ribosomal RNA is filed under the name metagenome. RNAcentral's name for it is "bacterial LSU rRNA". It matches the Rfam family "Bacterial large subunit ribosomal RNA", at positions 1564 to 2808 of the family's 2925-position model. The record is from RNAcentral.
UGAAUACGAGAUGCUACGGCGUCGAAGCAGUGUAUGUCAGACUUCCAAGAAAAGCUCGCAAUGUCAUAAAUAAAGAAUGCCUGUACCAUAACCGACACAGGUGGGUAGGUAGAGUAUACUAAGGGGCGCGAGAUAACUCUCUCUAAGGAACUCGGCAAAAUAACUCCGUAACUUCGGGAGAAGGAGUGCCUUCUUUAAGAAGGUUGCAAUAACAAGAUCCAAGCAACUGUUUAUCAAAAACACAGGUCUCCGCUAAGUCGUAAGACGAUGUAUGGGGGCUGACGCCUGCCCAGUGCCAGAAGGUUAAAGAAGUUGGUUAGCUUUUGCGAAGCUGAUGACUGAAGCCCCGGUGAACGGCGGCCGUAACGAUAACGGUCCUAAGGUAGCGAAAUUCCUUGUCGGGUAAGUUCCGACCCGCACGAAAGGCGUAAUGAUUUGGAUACUGUCUCGGAGAGGGACUCGGUGAAAUAGACUUGUCUGUGAAGAUGCGGACUACCUGCACCAGGACAGAAUGACCCUAUGAAGCUUUACUGUAACUUGAAAUUGAAAUUGGACUUUAUUUGCGCAGUAUAGGUGGAAGGCGUUGAAAGUAAUCUUGCGGGAUUAGUGGAGCCAUCAGUGAGAUACCACUCCUAUAAUGUUAGAUUUCUAACUUUGGAUCAUGAUCUGGUCAAAGAACAGUUUCAGGCGGGCAGUUUGACUGGGGCGGUCGCCUCCCAAAUGGUAACGGAGGCGUACAAAGGUUUCCUCUGAACGGGUAGAAAUCGUAUCUAGAGUGUAAAGGCAUAAGGAAGCUUGACUGUGAGACCUACAAGUCGAGCAGGGACGAAAGUCGGUCUUAGUGAUCUGACGGUGCUGAGUGGAAAGGCCGUCACUCAACGGAUAAAAGUUACUCUAGGAUAACAGGCUGAUCUCCCCCAAGAGUUCACAUCGACGGGGAGGUUUGGCACCUCGAUGUCGGCUCAUCGCAUCCUGGGGCGGUAGUACGUCCCAAGGGUUGGGCUGUUCGCCCAUGAAAGCGGUACGCGAGCUGGGUUCAGAACGUCGUGAGACAGUUCGGUCCAUAUCCGGUGUAGGCGUUAGAAUAUUGAGAGGAGCCUUCUUUAGUACGAGGGGACCGAGAAGGACAUACCUCUGGUGUACCAGUUAUCGUGCCAACGGUAAACGCUGGGUAGCUAUGUAUGGAGAGGAUAACCGCUGAAAGCAUCUAAGUGGGAAGCCCACCUCAAGAUGAG